RNAcentral lists this ribosomal RNA (497 nucleotides) under uncultured bacterium. Its description in RNAcentral is "partial 16S ribosomal RNA". It matches the Rfam family "Bacterial small subunit ribosomal RNA", at positions 28 to 507 of the family's 1533-position model. The record is from RNAcentral.
GAUGAACGCUGGCGGCGUGCCUAAUACAUGCAAGUCGAGCGAACGGACGAGAAGCUUGCUUCUCUGAUGUUAGCGGCGGACGGGUGAGUAACACGUGGAUAACCUACCUAUAAGACUGGGAUAACUUCGGGAAACCGGAGCUAAUACCGGAUGAUAUUUUGAACCGCAUGGUUCAAAAGUGAAAGACGGUCUUGCUGUCACUUAUAGAUGGAUCCGCGCUGCAUUAGCUAGUUGGUAAGGUAACGGCUUACCAAGGCAACGAUGCAUAGCCGACCUGAGAGGGUGAUCGGCCACCCUGGAACUGGGACACGGUCCAGACUCCUACGGGAGGCAGCAGUAGGGAAUCUUCCGCAAUGGGCGAAAGCCUGACGGAGCAACGCCGCGUGAGUGAUGACGGUCUUCGGAUCGUAAAACUCUGUUAUUAGGGAAGAACAUAUGUGUAAGUAACUGUGCACAUCUUGACGGUACCUAAUCAGAAAGCCACGGCUAACUACGUG